Molecule: ribosomal RNA, 305 nt
Filed under: uncultured bacterium
Lineage: Bacteria
Description: bacterial SSU rRNA
Rfam family: Bacterial small subunit ribosomal RNA
Source: RNAcentral
CCCUACGGGGGGCAGCAGUGGGGAAUAUUGCACAAUGGGGGAAACCCUGAUGCAGCAACGCCGCGUGAGUGAAGAAGUAUUUCGGUAUGUAAAGCUCUAUCAGCAGGGAAGAAAAUGACGGUACCUGACUAAGAAGCCCCGGCUAACUACGUGCCAGCAGCCGCGGUAAUACGUAGGGGGCAAGCGUUAUCCGGAUUUACUGGGUGUAAAGGGAGCGUAGAUGGUGCAGCAAGUCUGAUGUGAAAGGUCGGGGCCCAACCCCGGGACUGCAUUGGAAACUGUUGAACUGGAGUACAGGCGAGGUA